CAGAAUGUUUGGAUACUGAUGACGAUUUAAGUCACUCUUCUUCUGUGCGCAAUUUGAAAUAAGGUCGUUUUUCUUUUUUCCUCUAUUCAAAGUUUACAUUCUGAGGGGUUCCCGUUUCCAUCUUCGUGAUCUUCUUGUGAUUCACUGCAUCGUGUCGCUACAUCUGUGAUAGUGUGAGUUGCAACCUGUCUGUUUUCUUUGUUUGAUCAUUGUAUGUAUUAAAAAAGUUUACAUUUCAUUCUAGAUAAGCUCUUUGUAUGUAUUAAAAAAAUUUUAUUCUCAAUAUAUAUGACUCAAUGAGAGGUCUUUUAUUAUAUAUAUGUCAUGAAUUUCUAUUGUAUUUUGAGAUUUGAUGGUGUAUUAUUGUCUCAUUGCAAGGUCUUGUAAUCACUCUGAUUCUCAUUUGAGGAGGUUGGUCUCGUCUAUGUGUAUGUAUUUAUAUCCACAAGAAAUUUGAUAAAUGGUCUUGUCGUUUUCUCAUUAAAACAUCUAGUGCUUCAUGGGUUGGAGGGCUACUAGGCAUCAGGGCCAGAUCUUUAAACUCAAAGUUCUUCGUGUCAUUUACCCAUUUGAUUAUCAAAUAGUCAUAAAAGCAUAUAAAUUCAAGUUAGUGUAUCAUUUUUACACAAUAUACUAAAACUAACACAAGAACUUGGCCGACAUUUUCAGUUGAAUAACUCAGACCCCCGAACUUCCUCGGGCUGACAUCCCAAAGUGAAAAUGUCUAAAAAAAUAGUUGCAACAUUUACCCAUUUGAUUAUGAUUCAAAAAAAAACACAAACGGAGAAAUUAUUGGGAUUGUUAAGAUAGUUAAAAUGGUUAGUUAUUGUUUCAGUUUGUUAAGCAAGAUAGGUAGAGUUACUGACGUGUUAGCUGAGCUGGCAUAAGUUAUUCAACUCUCAGGUGCUUAGAAACCUUGUAUAAAUACAUUUGUAAUCAGCUAAAGAAUGGAUGAUUCAGAUUUAUUCAUCAAAUCCAGCUCUUAGAUGAUCUCUGUUCUUUCUUUCAUUUUCUCUCAUUUUCUUACUUAUCAAACAGAUUAGAAACUUUAACUUGGUAUCAGAGCCUGAAAGGUUUGGUAGUUGUUCUGUUUUAUCUUCAGUUUCAUUUUGUGAUCACAGAAACGUUAGGACUUGCUUGCAUGAACGCACAUUAAACCACGGAAAUUUUGUCAGACAUGCACGCAAAUGAAAUUUUAUCAGCAGUCUUGUAAUUUUCUAUUUUUGUUGUUGUCGUCAUUUUUUUACUACUAGUACUGUUUGAAAUUCUAGUAUUUUGGAUGUGAAAUUUAUUAUAUUAUGAUAGGUCCCAGUCAGAAUUAGCGGAAACAACAAGUAAAUAAUUUGUUCUUCUUAGGGUAAGAACUACCGCAAUUGCUAAUUGAAUUAGAUAAAAGUCUGAUAUCUUUUUAUUGAAUUAUUCGAGUCUAUUUAUAGAACAAAAUUAAUGAAAUAAAGUAGUUAAAAUCAAUUAAACCACUUAGCUAUAAUUUCGAAGUAAAUAAUAAUCUUAAAGGAAUCAUGAUUAAAUCUGAAUUCUUCAUCAAUACGGCUUGACUUAGUAAGCUUUCCGUUGAUUUUGUGAAGAGUCCUUGAAGGAACGUGAUGCCCACCUCAUGCAUGGCUUGCAUGUUACUUGCAUGUGCCCAUACAUUUUCGUUAUUGGCUUGCAUGGUUGCUUGCAUGUGCCCAUGCAUAUUCGUCAUAUUUGUUGUUGGGUUUUGCUUCUCACUUGGACUUGCGUAUACUCUUAUCAUAUUAGAUAUUCGACAUAUAUAUGAUGCUGAAUACAGGGUAUGUGUUGUCUAAAUUUAUUUUAUUUUGUUUGCUUCACAUCCAAUUUUCAAAAGCUUUGAAGAAUGCUAAGAGAAGGAGCAAAGGGCUAAAGAGUCAAAUGUAACAUUGCUAUUAAUUUGUUAAUUGCCAUCAUUUUUAAUUUUUGCCCUGCUUGUUCUGUUUACUCAUUUAUUUCACUUGGUUUUGCUCCACGUCUAUCUUUCCUAACUUAGGAAGGCAAGGAUUUUGAAAGUUCUGAAGAAGAUUCAGGUCACUCGUGUGAAUAAGAGCUGUGUUACUGUUUAAAAGUUUUCAUGCUCUGGAAUAAAAUUUGCUUUACUGUGUUACUGGUCAACUUCAUUAUUCUACUAAUGCUUUACUUCAUCUUCAUUGUAUCACUACAUUGACAGCGUUGACAGUGUAAGAGUCGUUUUCACGAUUUUUAAGAAAUUUUGAUCACAUUAAACUUUUGAUCUGAGUUCAUAACAAAAAUCAAAACGGCGCAUGACAUCAAGAUUAUGAUGAAUCAAAUUGAACUCCCAAUACGUUAGUUCAUAAAAAAUGCUUUUCUUCUUCCAAGUAAUCUUAUCAUUUCUUUCAUUUUAUUCAUUCUCCUCUUUUCUCCUCUUUUCAAGUCUUCAAUCUUAUACUCAGUAAGUACAUUACUGAACUGCUUUUUCACCUCAGCUCCAGACAACCGAGAAGGUGCUUGUCCGGUUGUCCCCACUCUCUAGUUUUAUCAGAUGGCACUAUAUUUUCGGAACCUAUGAUUUGUUGGUAAAAAUCGACGGUGACCCACGUGACAAUUUUCUACUAUGUAUCAACCAAUUAGAUCUAGUGUUUUGUUGGCAAACAAGAAAUGCUUAUUUACCUUUAAUACUCCACCCAAACAAGUUGGCAUAUGCUAGAAAGUCGGAGAUAGUCCAUAACAAUGCUGCGUGUGACUUGAACAUUUGAUUAUGUGAUGCAUUAUGCAUCAUUCCAACCAUACUAGCAUCACUACCCGAGUCAUGACUAACCUGUUUCUUAGUUAGAUUUCAAAGAUGAAGAUGGCUCACCCUCCAAUAUCCAGUUUUAAUACUUUAACCAAUAGCCAUUUAUAAUGAUAUGGUCUCUUGCCACUUUCCUUAUAAGGAAAUAUCGAUAUUACGACACUUCUUAGAAGGACAAUAAAUUCUUUUAUCACCAACAACAUUCUCAAAUGCAAAAUCUAUAAAUUUUUUGACCCAUCAGUAUAUGAAUUGGAUAUCUAUUUGGCAAACCAACCCAACUCUGGUCCAUGACUAUGUCCUUUUAAUGCACUAGAAAAAUUAGUUAAAUAAAUCACUUUAAUUCUUCAUUUCUACUACUAAACAAGAUAUUUUCAUGUGUGCGCAGUUUCGCAAUAUAAUAAAAAAAAUUAUUAUACAAUUUUAUGGUUAAUCUCAUUAGAACGUUUAUAUAUAUGGAAGCAAGCAAAGCCACAAGAAUCAGAGAAAAAGAUGUGAAAAUUAAAGUAUAUAUACAACAAUAAUUAAUCUAAAAAACAGUUUGCAAUACCUUCUGUAAAGAAAUAUCCUCACCCACUGCUGAGAACUUCACUUGGCUAUCAAUUACAGAUAUAUAAAGCCUGUUACCUAGAAACAAAAAAUUAGGUCAGCCAGCUAAAACAUAUUUAUAAACCAACAUUGGAGAUAGUACUCCAUUUAUAAACAAAAUUACAAGACUCAAAACCAAGUCGACUCAGCAAAAUCAUAACCGAUUACAUUCAUCCCACUCAGCUCCUCCACUCCCAUCAAUAUAUCCAACAUUCCCUUCAUAUUUACAAAAGGUAAGUGGUCCUAUAUAUCCCACUCAAGAAUGCAUAAGUUUCUUCAAUCUUAAGUAUCUAAAGUUUUCCUCUACGUUUAUAGAAACUUCGGAAGCAUCUCCCUAUAGUUCUUCAAGUACACGACAUAGAUAUAUGAAUGUUUAUGUGUUAUGCCAAAACAACACAUGACACCCAUUUGUCUAGUAUGCACCCAGAGAACAUGAGGAGCAGCUGCUGAAAAACCCAUUUUUACGUGGGAAAAAAAUUUCAGGCACUAGCUGCCAUAGAAAUCUAUGCAUUACCAAACUGUCCAAGCCUAGAUAUUUCAAGAAUUAUUAAUAGACAUAAGAUCCUCACUAUCAUCCAAAAGAUGACACUAAUAAAACAUGUGUCUAUUAAUAAUUUCUUAAAGGAGUUUAAGCUUUCAAUGCAUGUAUCAAAAGUUUAAAAUUGAAUCUGAAACUUGAAUAACACAUAAAAAUCAUAAAUCUCUUCAAUUUAUUCCUAAUAAAAUGUAGCAUUUUUUCACAUUUCAUUUCUUAAGCAAAACCAUAAAAAAUUACAAACAAUAAAUACAUUUUCUAGCACUGAUGCACAUUAUGUUUACUGAGCAAUAAGUUUUAAGUCAUUCAUAUUAAAAUACUUCUUCCUAUUCUAUCAACAAAUAACUAGUACGUACACACAAUUAAUAAAUUAAAUGUAACCUGGUUGUGAAUCUUGCAAAGUCUUCCUAUUUUUUUUUUUUUUUUUUGGUGGGGGGGGGGGGGGAGGGGGGAGGGGGUGGUUAUGCUCAUUUGUGUGUUGUUAACAGAAAUUGAUCCAAAGCCUCAGUUUUAAUUAGCUUCAUUAUAGCCAAUGAUUAGGUGUUUAAAAACCAAUGAAUAUUUUUUAUAAGAAAUCAACAAUAUUGUUGAAAGAAAAACCAAAUAAAAAUAAUAAAGCAAUGCAUAGAUUAAGGCUCUUUAUUAUCUAAUAACUAAUCAAACUAAGUUGUGGGUAAAGGAGAAUAUGUUUGUUUGGCCAAUAAUAAACUCAAGGAAUCACCAAUAAUCACCUAGUUACUAUUCCUUAUGCCAUGCAAUGUAAUGGCGUCGGUAAUGGCGACAAGGCAGGCAAUAACUAGCUAGCUAGUUAUGAUAGUUGCUUAACUUAACCUACUGGAAAUCUGAAGACCAAAAUGAAGAAACUUUGCCUAGAACUAGAAUAGGAAAACAUUCAUACCCAAAACCAAUAUACAUGAUUAAGAAACUUGAUUAUAUGUAUAUUUUUGUUUGCCACACCAAAUCCCACUAUUUCCAUACUCAUAAGCACAAAAAACCAUCGCAAAAAUGAAUGACCAUAUAAAAUAAAAUAGGUCGCAGGACAUUGAGAAUAGGACAAUAUGAUUUAUGUACUGUAAAAUAACUAUAUCUGCAGUCAACUAUAUUUCUGUUAGAACUCUAAAGUUUUCCAUUAAAUUUUUUUCCCUGUUAGGUAAACCACUUAACUGAAACACUUAAGCAAGAUUGACAAUCAUAGACAUAAAAGUAUUAAUAGGCUCAUUCAAGUGAAAUGAGCAUUAUUUCACAUAUCCUUUAGGCUUUUAAGUCAUUUAGAAGUCAUUCAUGUUAAACAAUUUCUUCAUAUACUUUCAAUAUAAUUAGUACAUACACAAUUAAUUAAUUAAAUAAAUCUGUUUCAGCUAGCACAGGAACUUAAGCAAUCAGAGCUAUUAGUUAUAGCUAGGACUUGAAUGAGGCACCUUUCAAAGUUCAAGAGGAGCAUCUGAACAGAAUGAAAGCAGUUUGUAGAAAUGGUAGUGAUGCUUUACAUCUACAUGCUCUUACACAAUAUGAACUUUCAUUUAUUCAAGAACAUAACACUAAUCCAAGCUCUUACUCUACAAGUCAAUUCAGUUUGUAGAUGCAAGCCAUUGUAAAAACUUUUGUGUUAUAAUUUCCGUAAAUGGAACAUGACAUUACUAAUAUAGAAUCAGCAAUGUUAUAUAACUUAUCAGACAAUAUAACAAGCACUUGGCGAGCAUAUAAGAUAAACUAAAACAAGUUAAUUAGAAAAUGAAACUAAAACCCAAGCUCCGCUAUUCAUUGUAGAAGCUUUAAACAUAAAAUUAAACUAAAUCUAAUGCCAAAACAUUAGAAUGGAUGUUGGAAUUAAAGCUAAAUUCAAUAGUAAUCCAAAUGAAUCCAUUUGAACUUUGUAAACUCCGCAGAACAAAAUUAAUUUGAGUGAGCAAACUCACCAAUGGCACAAGAACAGAAGGGCUUCAACUUCUAGGAACAAAAAACAUUGCCGGUGGGACAAAAAUUGACAUUAAUGGCUACAAUACGAAUUAAAGAGAUCAAAACCUAUAAUUACAAGCUAAGAAAGAGAGGAAACUCAUAAUCACAAGCUUACCUGAAACGAAGAGAGAGAAUAAGAUGAAGAAGAAGAUCGCUGCCGUUUUACGCCAUUCUCCGGCUACCAGUAAGGUUUAGGAUGCUGGCCAGGCACGAGAGAGAAUUUGGGACUUUGGUCUUCAAAAUAUUGACUCCAGCAAAUAGUUUUCUAUUUAGAAACAAAUUUAUAACUCUACCGUCA
Molecule: long non-coding RNA, 6141 nt
Filed under: Citrus maxima (pomelo)
Lineage: Eukaryota; Viridiplantae; Streptophyta; Magnoliopsida; Sapindales; Rutaceae
Description: long non-coding RNA (CMAX_LNC001255)
Source: RNAcentral